RNAcentral lists this ribosomal RNA (499 nucleotides) under uncultured bacterium. Its description in RNAcentral is "bacterial SSU rRNA". It matches the Rfam family "Bacterial small subunit ribosomal RNA", at positions 28 to 517 of the family's 1533-position model. The record is from RNAcentral.
GAUGAACGCUGGCGGCAGGCCUAACACAUGCAAGUCGAGGGGCAGCACGUCUUCGGAUGGUGGCGACCGGCGCACGGGUGCGUAACGCGUAGAUGAUCUGCCUUGAAGUUGGGGAUAGCCUAUAGAAAUAUAGGGUAAUACCGAAUAAUUUUUUACCACUAUGGUGGUUUAAGGAAAGGGGCUUCGGCCUCGCUUUAAGAUGAGUCUGCGGUCUAUUAGCUAGUUGGUAGGGUAAUAGCCUACCAAGGCGACGAUAGAUAGCCGGCCUGAGAGGGUGACCGGCCACAUUGGGACUGAGACACGGCCCAAACUCCUACGGGAGGCAGCAGCUAAGAAUCUUCCGCAAUGGGCGAAAGCCUGACGGAGCGACGCCGCGUGGACGAAGAAUGCCGAGAGGUUGUAAAGUCCUUUUAUUUGCGAAGAAUAAUGCCUGUAGGUAAUGACAGGCAGAUGACGUUAGCUUAUGAAUAAGCUCCGGCCAAUUACGUGCCAGCAGCCG